This is a non-coding RNA of Nicrophorus vespilloides, 75 nucleotides long. NCBI's taxonomy places the organism in Eukaryota, Metazoa, Arthropoda, Insecta, Coleoptera, Silphidae. The record is from the annotation of a RefSeq genome assembly.
AGCAAAGUGGCGCAGUGGAAGCGUGCUGGGUUAGGGGUAACCCAGAGGUCCAUGGAUCGAAACCAUGCUCUGCUA